RNAcentral lists this ribosomal RNA (1343 nucleotides) under uncultured bacterium. RNAcentral's name for it is "16S ribosomal RNA". It matches the Rfam family "Bacterial small subunit ribosomal RNA", at positions 28 to 1378 of the family's 1533-position model. The record is from RNAcentral.
GACGAACGCCGGCGGCGUGCUUAACACAUGCAAGUCGAACGGAAAGGCCCUGCUUUUGUGGGGUGCUCGAGUGGCGAACGGGUGAGUAACACGUGAGUAACCUGCCCUUGACUUUGGGAUAACUUCAGGAAACUGGGGCUAAUACCGGAUAGGAGCUCCUGCUGCAUGGUGGGGGUUGGAAAGUUUCGGCGGUUGGGGAUGGACUCGCGGCUUAUCAGCUUGUUGGUGGGGUAGUGGCUUACCAAGGCUUUGACGGGUAGCCGGCCUGAGAGGGUGACCGGCCACAUUGGGACUGAGAUACGGCCCAGACUCCUACGGGAGGCAGCAGUGGGGAAUAUUGCACAAUGGGCGGAAGCCUGAUGCAGCAACGCCGCGUGCGGGAUGACGGCCUUCGGGUUGUAAACCGCUUUCGCCUGUGACGAAGCGUGAGUGACGGUAAUGGGUAAAGAAGCACCGGCUAACUACGUGCCAGCAGCCGCGGUGAUACGUAGGGUGCGAGCGUUGUCCGGAUUUAUUGGGCGUAAAGGGCUCGUAGGUGGUUGAUCGCGUCGGAAGUGUAAUCUUGGGGCUUAACCCUGAGCGUGCUUUCGAUACGGGUUGACUUGAGGAAGGUAGGGGAGAAUGGAAUUCCUGGUGGAGCGGUGGAAUGCGCAGAUAUCAGGAGGAACACCAGUGGCGAAGGCGGUUCUCUGGGCCUUUCCUGACGCUGAGGAGCGAAAGCGUGGGGAGCGAACAGGCUUAGAUACCCUGGUAGUCCACGCUGUAAACGGUGGGUACUAGGUGUGGGGUCCAUUCCACGGGUUCCGUGCCGUAGCUAACGCUUUAAGUACCCCGCCUGGGGAGUACGGCCGCAAGGCUAAAACUCAAAGGAAUUGACGGGGCCCCGCACAAGCGGCGGAGCAUGCGGAUUAAUUCGAUGCAACGCGUAGAACCUUACCUGGGUUUGACAUGGAUCGGGAGUGCUCAGAGAUGGGUGUGCCUCUUUUGGGGUCGGUUCACAGGUGGUGCAUGCCUGUCGUCAGCUCGUGUCGUGAGAUGUUGGGUUAAGUCCCGCAACGAGCGCAACCCUUGUUCACUGUUGCCAGCACGUUAUGGUGGGGACUCAGUGGAGACCGCCGGGGUCAACUCGGAGGAAGGUGGGGAUGACGUCAAGUCCUCAUGCCCCUCAUGUCCAGGGCUUCACGCAUGCUACAAUGGCUGGUACAGAGAGUGGCGAGCCUGUGAGGGUGAGCGAAUCUCGGAAAGCCGGUCUCAGUUCGGAUUGGGGUCUGCAACUCGACCUCAUGAAGUCGGAGUCGCUAGUAAUCGCAGAUCAGCAACGCUGCGGUGAAUACGUUCCCGGG